Molecule: long non-coding RNA, 1699 nt
Organism: Paramisgurnus dabryanus
Lineage: Eukaryota; Metazoa; Chordata; Actinopteri; Cypriniformes; Cobitidae
Source: RefSeq, a predicted model, not a curated record
GGUGGCGCCAAAAUCAAAAACAGACGCUACAGCACAUGGACUUCGCCAUUUUGCAUUGGACUGGAUCGUCAUCUCACUAGUUUACGAUCGCCAAAUUGUAGAUACAGCAUCAUUUCAUCGUCUAUACGGUGGGACAACCUGCUAGACAGGUUGAAGACAUCUGUAUCUACCUCAAAGAAGGCAUGGAGAGACACAUUAAAGAAUAUGUGAAUUGUGAAAUUGGUGAGUUGGGAAUUGCACAGACAGUGGAAGUUUUGGAAAACCUACUUGGUGUCACACAUGGGUGUGAAAUUACUUUUUGGACUCAUUUAUGCACUUAAACUGAACUACCAGAAGAACCUCAGGUGCACCUUUGACCUUUCAAAAAAUCCUAAUGGAACUGGACUUGAUACAACCAAGCAAUCACUGAAAGAUGCUUCAGUGAAUACCUGACAGACACGCUGAUGCAUCCCCCUCAAAGUGGGUACAUUUUUGUACAUUUACAAGUGAACUUUUUAACAUUAAAGGAAUAUUGCACUUUCAUUAAACAAAAAUACUGAUAAUUAACUGUCUGUCAUCCAAGAUGCUUGUCUUUUUUGUUCAGUCGGGAAGAAAUUAUGUUUUUUGAGAAAAACAUUCCAGGAUUUUUCUUAAUUUAAUAGACCUUAUUGGACCUCAACAGUUAUGUUUCAAAGCAGCUUUAAAGGGCUCUAAACGAUCCCAACCGAGGCAUAAGGGUUUAAUCUAUCCAAAAGAUUAUCAUUUUUGGCAAGAAAACUUUUAAAACACAACAACUUGUCUUGCAUUAUCCAUGUGACACACAGUGCGACAUUGUGUACUACGUAAUAAAUGUUUACACAUCACAAAUGUGAAACGCACAUUUGUUGACCAUUUUAAAUAAUAAACGGACCCAAAGACAUUAAUUAGUAUCAUUUCACAUUCAACAACAUCUGAACGCUCCUCUUUCUCCUCGCUUGUAAACACUGGAACGGUAGUUUCAGUUAUGUCAUGCUAGUGUGUCACACAGCUAGUGCAAAACGUUGUGAUUUAAAAGUCCUCUUUUAUUUUUAUUUUUGAAAAUGACAAUCGUUUAGCUAGAUAAGACCCUUAUGCCUUAUUUGGGAUAAUUUAGAGCCCAUUUAAAUCUGCAUUAAAACCGUAAACUUGAGGUUGAAUAAAGUCUUAAAUUGAGAAAAAUCCUGGAAUCUUUAACUCAAACUUUAUUUCUUCUUGACUGAACAAAGAAAAACAUAAACAUAUGGGGUUAGAAAAUUAUCGGGAUUUUUGUUUUAUUAAAUUGGAAUAUUGCUUUAACAAUUUUAAAAGUUAAAAGUUUUUGAAAAAUGUAAUUGAUGUAUAUCUAACAUGUAAUUAGAGAUGCAUGAAAAUUGUUAAUGGCACACAGCCACUCAAAACACUAAGCCAUGUGCCAUUUUUUUUUUCUUACCACCCAAUCAUUCUAAAUUAUUAUUAUUACAUCAUGUCACAGAUUUCUGAAAAUGUUAAAGUAAUGUUGUUGUCACUGAUUUAUGUCUACCUCGAGUUUUACAGGGUUUUUUGUAUUUCUGCAGCCUGUUUGCUCAAAAUGUUUGCACUUAUUUGUGGAAUGAGGUUGAUUGUGGCUGAAAUGUCUGAAACACACUUAUUUAUUUAUUUUUGCACACAAUACGAGGUGUAUAAGCCAUGGCUGUCAUGCUAGUUGUUAGCUGCUCUUUUUUUG